Molecule: small nuclear RNA, 165 nt
Organism: Cavia porcellus (domestic guinea pig)
Lineage: Eukaryota; Metazoa; Chordata; Mammalia; Rodentia; Caviidae
Rfam family: U1 spliceosomal RNA
About the family: U1 is a small nuclear RNA (snRNA) component of the spliceosome (involved in pre-mRNA splicing).
Source: Rfam
AUACUUACCUGGAAGGGGAGAUACCAGGAUCACGAAGGUGGUUUUCCCAGGGUGAGGCUCAAUUUUGCACUCUGGGUGUGCCUAUCCCGUUGGUUUCCCCAAAUGUGGGAAACUAGACUGCAUAAUUUGUGGUAGUGAGGGACUGCCUUUGCAUGCUUUCUCCUG